AACGAACGCUGGCGGCAUGCCUAACACAUGCAAGUCGAACGAGACCUUCGGGUCUAGUGGCGCACGGGUGCGUAACGCGUGGGAACCUGCCCUUAGGUUCGGAAUAACUCCCCGAAAGGGGUGCUAAUACCGGCUAAUGUCUUCGGACCAAAGAUUUAUCGCCUUUGGAUGGGCCCGCGUUGGAUUAGCUAGUUGGUAGGGUAAAAGCCUACCAAGGCGACGAUCCAUAGCUGGUCUGAGAGGAUGAUCAGCCACACUGGGACUGAGACACGGCCCAGACUCCUACGGGAGGCAGCAGUGGGGAAUAUUGGACAAUGGGCGAAAGCAUGAUCCAGCAAUGCCGCGUGAGUGAUGAAGGCCUUAGGGUUGUAAAGCUCUUUUACCCGGGAUGAUAAUGACAGUACCGGGAGUAUAAGCUCCGGCUAACUCCGUG
This 433-nucleotide ribosomal RNA is filed under the name uncultured bacterium. RNAcentral's name for it is "partial 16S ribosomal RNA". It matches the Rfam family "Bacterial small subunit ribosomal RNA", at positions 29 to 507 of the family's 1533-position model. The record is from RNAcentral.